This is an RNA transcript of Panicum virgatum (switchgrass), 3635 nucleotides long. It is a transcript of the gene named protein ALP1-like, with no coding region annotated. NCBI's taxonomy places the organism in Eukaryota, Viridiplantae, Streptophyta, Magnoliopsida, Poales, Poaceae. The transcript is spliced from 4 exons. The record is from RefSeq and is a predicted model, not a curated record.
AGGAGAUAGAUGGGAACCGUUUCUUCCCCACGAAACGAAUCGGGCGCUGUUUCCAAGUCGAAGAAACGCUGACGAAACGCGCACCGAGGCCAGCGACGGUUUCAUGGUGGAUCCCGUGCUCCCUCCCCCCGCACUCCCUCCUCCCGCGCUCCCGCUCCCAGCUUGCGCGCCAAAUCCAUCCCAGCUCACGCCAAAUCCACCGCCGCCCCUGCCCUUCAUCUUCCUCUCCUCCCAGAGCCGCCACCGCCCCUGCAGUUCGUUUCCUCCCAAGCCGCCGCGGCCCCUGCCCUCCCAGAUCCGCCGCAUCCCGUGCCAUCUGGGCGGGCGAGAUGUCCCGCAAGGGGGAGCUGCCCGGCGGCGGCACGGCAAUAUGCGGCGGCGGCGGCGGCCCCGUGGAGGUGGCACCGAGAAGGGCCGCAGUGGUGGCUUGGUGAAGGUCCGCGGCGCCAGCACAACGACAGGCGACGGCGGCGGCGGCGGCGGCGACACUUCGCCGGCUGCAGCUCCUCCGCCGGCUGCUGCUCCUCUGCCUGCUGCAUCUUCUCCGGCGGCACCUCCCCCAUGUUGGCCCGGAUAUGCAGCUUCACCGACGCCGCCCCCAAAUUGGCCUGGAUUUGCAGCUUCUACGGCGGCGCCCCCAAAUUCUUCCCCACAUGGAAACCAGUGCUCAAAUCCAUGGGGUGGUUAUUUGAAUAUGUUAAAGCAACCAUAUUUUCCACCUUUGCAACCUUUUGGUGAAAAUUCCCAUUAUGUUGGAGCUACAAACACCUUCCAGCCACCAUCGCCUGCACCUGAACCAUAUCCCAAUGAAAGGGCCAGCAUUGACCUUGAUGAAGAAGAUGGUGUUGAGGCAAGUAGGUCAGUAAAGAAAAGAUAUUGGUCACAUGAAGAGGAAGUGAAACUGGCAAGUGCUUGGUUGAAUACUUCUAAAGACCCUAUUCAUGGAAAUGAAAAGAAAAGUGAUUCAUUUUGGAGUAAAAUCACUAAGGAGUUUAACCAGAACAAGCAACGAGAAUAUCAUAGAGACACCAACAGCCUGAAGAUCCAUUGGACACGCCUAAGCAAAAUGAUAAAUGAUUCAAUGGUUAUUGGAUUUCAGUUUGUAAAAUGAAUAAGAGUGGAUACUCCGACGACCAACUGAUGGAUGAAGCACAAAAGAGGUAUGAGAAAAAGAAUGAAAAACCUUUCACAUUGAUCCACUGGUGGAAGAUUCUAAAAGAUGAACCGAAAUGGUGCACAUUUGUUGCUCAAUCAGAGAAAGAUAAAAGCAAAAAAAGCAGCCAAGCCAUAGAUGGUGAUGACAUAGCUGAACAACGUCCUAUUGGGAGGGAAUCAGCCAAGCAAGAACGCAGAGGGAAGAGGAAGGUAGAUCAGGUUAUGGACGGUAUUGAAAUCCUUGGAGAAAAUAUAAAUAAAAUUGUUGAAGUUACGCAAGAGCGUAAGAAGGAACGUGAACAAAUGACAGAGGCACAACUUGAGAUCUCUACGAUGAAUUUGCAGACUGCAAAAGAGCAUAAGGAAGCAAAGUUACUCGAAGCUUAUACUUCUUUGCUGGCUCGGGAUACAAGUCAGAUGUCGGCCGAAGAGAAGAUUAGCCAUGGCAAGACAUUGCUCAAGAUGGAGAAGAUGAUUUUUCAAAAUGAUUGAGGAGCAUCUGUGCAAGGAUAUCAAUUGGGAGGCUUGUGCUUUUGGUCAGUUAUUUUGGAAGGCUGCAAUAUAGUGGAAAUUAAGUAUUAUUUUUCAGUUAUUUUGGUGUGAAACUGCUCCAUUAGGAAUGUGAACUGUUGCUUUCAGACUGAAGCUCCUUUCGGCUUCAUCUUUAUUAUGUGAAUGUGAACUGGUAGUCCUUUCUUUAUUAUAUGAAUGUGAACUGGUACUCCUUUCACCUAUAUAUACAUCCAGUACUAGUCCAUCUCGGCAGCAUCUCCUUUCUAGAGCACCAUCUUUUCUCCUUUCUCCUGUAAUAGUCGCCACCAUCUUUUCCCUCUUGUACAAAGGAGGUGCUCAUCGAGGACAGGCUACUGACUUUGCAGGUGAGUGCCACUGUCUCGCAGAGUUGGGUGAACUUUUUUCAAAGAGAAGGCAGAGGGUGUUGGUUAUUGUUUUGGCAUGUGCUUCCCACUGUCGAGCUUUCACAAAUUGCUAUGUGCCCACUGAAUUUGAUAUGCAUGUAAAUGCAGAUUGUGCCCACUGAAUUUUCCUUGAGCCCUUCUAAUGUCUUACGCCAUCUGGUAAUGAUUAAAUUGAACAUAUGAUUGUUUUUAAGAUGUAUUUUACCAUCAAACAGGUUCUCGUAUCCACAAAAAUGUCGGACCAAAAUUCAGCAAGCAACACUGUCAAUUUGUUGGAUGUGUUCAUUGCAGAAGAUGAACUCCUAGAUGACUUAAUCAGUGAAACAAUGGUGGUCCUGAAGGCAAGCGUAGAGGCUCUUUCUCAAGAGGCAUCUGAUCAUUGAUUUCUCCAAGGAACUAUAUCAAAAGGCCGCGAGAGGAGUAUCAUCAGCGUCUUGUGGAUUAUUAUUUCUCAGAAAAUCCUCUUUAUCCGCUCAAUAUUUUUCGCCGAAGAUUUCGUAUGCGUAGGCCAUUAUUCCUACGCAUUGUUGAUGAAUUAGGCAAGUGGUCUGACUACUUCACUACAAGGGUGGAUGCUCUAGGUCAGCAAGGACUCACACCACUACAAAAGUGUACCGCAGCUAUUCGCCAAUUAGCUAAUGGCAGUGCGGCGGAUCAUCUAGAUGAGUCUCUAAAAAUUGGCGAGACAACUUCACUAGAGGCAAUGAAGUAUUUUGUCGAGGGUGUUAUAGCUGUAUUUAGUGGACGAUAUUUGAGACGACCCACUAUGGCAGAUGCUGAGCGUCUGCUCAAAAUUGGUGAGAGAGAGGUUUUCCUGGUAUGUUCGGCAGUAUUGACUGUAUGCAUUGGCAGUGGGAGAGAUGUCCAACUGCAUGGAAGGGCCAAUUUACUCGGGGUGAUCAGAAAGUCCCGAUGAUAAUUCUUGAGGCUGUGGCUUCUCAUGAUCUUUGGAUCUGGCAUGCAUUCUUUGGGGUUGCAGGUUCUAAUAAUGAUAUCAAUGUCCUAAACCAGUCUCAUCUAUUUAUCGAAGAACUAAAAGGGCAAGCUCCAAGGGUCCAAUACAUGGUGAAUGGAAACCAAUAUAACACAGGUUAUUAUCUUGCGGAUGGGAUAUACCCGGAAUGGGCUGUUUUUGUGAAGUCCAUAUCCUUGCCCAUUUCCGACAAGGACAAGCUGUUUGCACAGGAAAAAGAAGGGAAGAGAAAGGAUAUUGAACGAGCAUUUGGAGUAUUGCGUCGACGAUGGAGCGUCUUGAAAAAACCAGCUCGCCUAUACGAUCGUGGUCAACUUGAGAGAGUGGUGCUAGCUUGCAUCAUCCUUCACAAUAUGAUUGUUGAAGAUGGAAAAAAAGAAGAGGACAUUGAAGAGAAUCUUGAUCUAAAUGAGGCUCCUAGUACAGUGACUGUGCAAGAACCAGAAUUCUCCCCCGAAGAUUAUGUUCCAUUUGAAAGAGUGCUAGAAAAAGAAGGUGAUAUUCGAGAUCGUUCGGCUCAUAUACAACUUAAGAAGGACUUGGUGGAGCACAUUUGGAACAAGCACGGUCGUCGUCUAUCUACAAAUUGA